Molecule: ribosomal RNA, 460 nt
Filed under: uncultured bacterium
Lineage: Bacteria
Description: partial 16S ribosomal RNA
Rfam family: Bacterial small subunit ribosomal RNA
Source: RNAcentral
CCUACGGGAGGCAGCAGUGAGGAAUAUUGGUCAAUGGACGAGAGUCUGAACCAGCCAAGUAGCGUGAAGGAUGACUGCCCUAUGGGUUGUAAACUUCUUUUAUAAAGGAAUAAAACGAGGCACGUGUGCCUUUUUGCAUGUACUUUAUGAAUAAGGAUCGGCUAACUCCGUGCCAGCAGCCGCGGUAAUACGGAGGAUCCGAGCGUUAUCCGGAUUUAUUGGGUUUAAAGGGAGCGUAGAUGGGUUGUUAAGUCAGUUGUGAAAGUUUGCGGCUCAACCGUAAAAUUGCAAUUGAUACUGGCAGUCUUGAGUACAGUUGAGGUAGGCGGAAUUCGUGGUGUAGCGGUGAAAUGCUUAGAUAUCACGAAGAACCCCGAUUGCGAAGGCAGCUUACUAAACUGUGACUGACGCUCAGGCACGAAAGCGUGGGUAUCGAACAGGAUUAGAUACCCUUGUAGUC